This 586-nucleotide ribosomal RNA is filed under the name uncultured Pseudomonas sp. RNAcentral describes it as "bacterial SSU rRNA". It matches the Rfam family "Bacterial small subunit ribosomal RNA", at positions 102 to 684 of the family's 1533-position model. Lineage: Bacteria; Pseudomonadati; Pseudomonadota; Gammaproteobacteria; Pseudomonadales; Pseudomonadaceae. The record is from RNAcentral.
ACGGGUGAGUAAUGCCUAGGAAUCUGCCUGGUAGUGGGGGACAACGUUUCGAAAGGAACGCUAAUACCGCAUACGUCCUACGGGAGAAAGCAGGGGACCUUCGGGCCUUGCGCUAUCAGAUGAGCCUAGGUCGGAUUAGCUAGUUGGUGAGGUAAUGGCUCACCAAGGCGACGAUCCGUAACUGGUCUGAGAGGAUGAUCAGUCACACUGGAACUGAGACACGGUCCAGACUCCUACGGGAGGCAGCAGUGGGGAAUAUUGGACAAUGGGCGAAAGCCUGAUCCAGCCAUGCCGCGUGUGUGAAGAAGGUCUUCGGAUUGUAAAGCACUUUAAGUUGGGAGGAAGGGUUGUAGAUUAAUACUCUGCAAUUUUGACGUUACCGACAGAAUAAGCACCGGCUAACUCUGUGCCAGCAGCCCCGGUAAUACAGAGGGUGCAAGCGUUAAUCGGAAUUACUGGGCGUAAAGCGCGCGUAGGUGGUUUGUUAAGUUGGAUGUGAAAUCCCCGGGCUCAACCUGGGAACUGCAUCCAAAACUGGCAAGCUAGAGUAUGGUAGAGGGUGGUGGAAUUUCCUGUGUAGCGGUGA